AGAGUUUGAUCCUGGCUCAGAACGAACGCUGGCGGCAGGCCUCAAACAUGCAAGUCUAGGGGGUGCAGCAAUGCAUCACCGGCGGACGGGUGCGUAACGCGUGGGAAUAUACCUAUUGGUUCGGAACAACUGCGGGAAACUGCAGCUAAUACCGAAUGUGCCCGAAAGGGGAAAGAUUUAUCGCCAAUGGAUUAGCCCGCGUAGGAUUAGCUAGUUGGUGGGGUAACGGCCCACCAAGGCUCCGAUCCUUAGCUGUUCUGAGAGGAAGAUCAGCCACACUGGGACUGAGACACGGCCCAGACUCCUACGGGAGGCAGCAGUUGGGAAUCUUGGACAAUGGGGGAAACCCUGAUCCAGCCAUGCCGCGUGAGUGAUGAAGGCCUUCGGGUUGUAAAACUCUUUCGACGGGGACGAUAAUGACGGUACCCGUAGAAGAAGCUCCGGCUAACUUCGUGCCAGCAGCCGCGGUAAUACGAAGGGGGCUAGCGUUGUUCGGAAUUACUGGGCGUAAAGCGCGCGCAGGCGGCUAUCCAAGUCAGUGGUGAAAGCCCGGAGCUCAACUCCGGAACUGCCAUUGAAACUGUUUAGCUUGAGGACGAGAGAGGUGAGUGGAAUUCCCAGUGUAGAGGUGAAAUUCGUAGAUAUUGGGAAGAACACCGGUGGCGAAGGCGGCUCACUGGCUCGUUUCUGACGCUCAGGCGCGAUAGCGUGGGGAUCAAACAGGAUUAGAUACCCUGGUAGUCCACGCCGUAAACGAUGAUUGCUAGCCGUUGGGCAGCUUGCUGUUCAGUGGCGCAGCUAACGCAUUAAGCAAUCCGCCUGGGGAGUACGGCCGCAAGGUUGAAACUCAAAGGAAUUGACGG
Molecule: ribosomal RNA, 863 nt
Filed under: uncultured bacterium
Lineage: Bacteria
Description: bacterial SSU rRNA
Rfam family: Bacterial small subunit ribosomal RNA
Source: RNAcentral